AAGUCGUAACAAGGUUUCCGUAGGUGAACCUGCGGAAGGAUCAUUAACACGUAUCCAAACGUUAAACCCCCCCGUGAACCUUCAGUGUACUCGUACGUCCGUUAGAAAAAGCAGCAAUCCCUGGUAAAUCAUCGCCGAACAGUUUUCGAUUCAUCGACCAAAAACCGAACAACUGUUAACAAUGGAUAUCUUGGUUCUC
Molecule: unclassified non-coding RNA, 199 nt
Filed under: fungal sp.
Lineage: Eukaryota; Fungi
Description: partial internal transcribed spacer region
Rfam family: Eukaryotic small subunit ribosomal RNA (bases 1-46)
Source: RNAcentral